CGAACCGGUUUCGUUCUUAUAUUUCAGUGUAUAAACUACAAAAACAUUCGUUUGCAUUAUACAUUCGCCAUUUUACUCUGCAACUGCCCGGUCGCCGUGUGUUAUCUCUCCGAAAAACAGCCCGUUUUUACGGUUAUUUUUGUGAGCUUUCCGUUCAUUCCCAGGCAACAACAUGGUCAAAUCGAAGAAGAAUGCGGCCCUUGGGGAAAGAAGAACUUCCAUAAGGCUGGCAAACAAACCUAAACCUGCUCAGGUGGAGAAGAAGAAGGCCGUAAAGAAGGCAGCCAAACCGAAGAAGACCAAAGCCGAAAAUGGAGGCGCCAAGGCUCAGGAGGCAAAGACUGACGCCACUGAAGCCAAAUGAAUAACAGUUGAUGUACUCACUCUGUGUACUUGGUGAUUGUACAGUUUUAAAAUAAGUAUUUUUUACCAAGUUUUAUAUUACAAAUGUCAUUUAUAGGUUUGUUUUGGGCUUGCACUUGAUGUAACAAAACUAUGUUGUCACAUUCAUAUCCAUUUAAAAUGAUACCGUCCAUAUCUUGUAGACGUGGCAUUUUUAGUUUAGUCUAAUUCUGCUGAGUGAUAGAUAUUUUCCAAGAAGUUGGACUUUGAUUCUAAUUUUAAACAUUAUAAGGCAGCUAAAGCAUAUUGUUAAAAUAUGGGGGAGAACAGGAAUUUUGCCUAUUUAUCUCCUUUAUAUUUUAAUGUUGAACUAAUAAGAAAUUGCUUACCAAAUGUUUUGAAGCACUGUAUGUUGACAUGAGAUCUAGUCAUUGAGAAUGCCACAGCAAAAAUACUGUUAUUAGGUCAAAAAGUUUGAUACAACCCAAAAAACAUGUAAGAUGUGAACCUGGUCAUCUAAUGAAACGUUAAGUUAUGUUUCUGUUAGAAGAAAAGGAAGCUUUUCUGACUUCAAUGGUUGAUCUAAAUGUUCUUGAAUAAAAAUUUGCAAAAUGUC
This is a long non-coding RNA of Acanthopagrus latus (yellowfin seabream), 958 nucleotides long. RefSeq lists it as uncharacterized. The transcript is spliced from 6 exons. NCBI's taxonomy places the organism in Eukaryota, Metazoa, Chordata, Actinopteri, Spariformes, Sparidae. The record is from RefSeq and is a predicted model, not a curated record.